AAUGCGAUAAUGUAAAGGAUAAAAUAUGAUAUUACUUUACUAUUAGUGUUGUCCAAAUCUGGUGCCAGAAGACUCGGUAACGCCAGAAACGCGAACGUUAGUCACAUUAACCAGGCGUAAAGGGUUCGUAGGCAGUUUAAUAAGUUAAAUUUUUAUAUAGCUAUUUAAACAUAUAUAAUAAUAUAGGUUUAUUUAAAAUUUAAUAAAUUUAAAAUAGAAUCAAAUUGAGGAUAAGCCGAAUAAUGCUUAGAGUAGGGAUUAAAUCCUUAGAUACUAGGUGGAAUACUUAUGGUGAAAGCUUUUUAUCUAAUAAUGAUCGACGCUGAGGAACGAAGGUGAGAAUAGAAAAUAGGAUUAGAGACCCAGAUAUCUCUCACUGUCAACGAUGAAUGGUGGAUUUUUAGUUUUUUACUAGAACCGAUGUUAACGCGAUAACCAUUCCGCCUUGAGAGUACGGUCGCAAGACUGAAACCAAAAAAAUUAGUCGGUCU
This 491-nucleotide ribosomal RNA is filed under the name Collybiopsis peronata. Its description in RNAcentral is "mitochondrial SSU rRNA". It matches the Rfam family "Bacterial small subunit ribosomal RNA", at positions 427 to 919 of the family's 1533-position model. Lineage: Eukaryota; Fungi; Basidiomycota; Agaricomycetes; Agaricales; Omphalotaceae. The record is from RNAcentral.